CUCUGGCUGGCAGGUGGCUUUCUGGAUAAUCUUUGUUAUCCUCCUGGGAGCAAUUGGUGUGGUUUCAUACUUCUGUUGGAAACAGCAGAGACAACGCAGUCUAAUGAGAGAGUUCAAAGUUCGACCUGCCAUCGAUGAAUAUGAAACAUUGUGUGCCAAGUUCGAUCAAGUGAAUGCAUGUGCUGAGGAAGAAAAGAAAAAUCUAUUAAUACAGAUAGAAAACGAAAGGCAGGCCGCCAAAUUGGGUAAGACUCUGGAUGUGAGUUUGCUCGCUGAGCUGGAAGGUUAGUUUUCAGACGUUUCGUCACCAU
Molecule: long non-coding RNA, 311 nt
Organism: Stegostoma tigrinum
Lineage: Eukaryota; Metazoa; Chordata; Chondrichthyes; Orectolobiformes; Stegostomatidae
Exons: 6
Source: RefSeq, a predicted model, not a curated record